GACAGAGGGUGCAAACGUUGUUCGGAAUUACUGGGCGUAAAGCGUGUGUAGGCGGUUUGCUAAGUCGGGUGUGAAAGCCCCGGGCUCAACCCGGGAAGUGCACUCGAAACUGGCAGGCUAGAGUACUGGAGAGGUUGGUGGAAUUCUCGGUGUAGGGGUGAAAUUCGUAGAUAUCGAGAGGAACACCGGUGGCGAAGGCGGCCAACUGGACAGAUACUGACGCUGAGACACGAAAGCGUGGGGAGCAAACAGG
This 253-nucleotide ribosomal RNA is filed under the name uncultured bacterium. RNAcentral's name for it is "partial 16S ribosomal RNA". It matches the Rfam family "Bacterial small subunit ribosomal RNA", at positions 524 to 776 of the family's 1533-position model. The record is from RNAcentral.